AUUGUAGCAUACAAGGCAUACGGCUCAGUAACGCGUAGUCAACCUAACCUAUGGACGGGAAUAACCUCGGGAAACUGAGAAUAAUGCCCGAUAGAACACUAUACCUGGAAUGGUUUGUGUUCCAAAUGAUUUAUCGCCAUAGGAUGGGACUGCGGCCUAUCAGUUUGUUGGUGAGGUAAUGGCCCACCAAGACUAUUACAGGUACGGGCUCUGAGAGGAGUAGCCCGGAGAUGGGUACUGAGACACGGACCCAGGCCCUAUGGGGCGCAGCAGGCGAGAAAACUUUGCAAUGUGCGAAAGCACGACAAGGUUAAUCCGAGUGAUUUGUGCUAAACGAAUCUUUUGUUAGUCCUAGAAACACUAACGAAUAAGGGGUGGGCAAGUUCUGGUGUCAGCCGCCGCGGUAAAACCAGCACCUCAAGUGGUCAGGAUGAUUAUUGGGCCUAAAGCAUCCGUAGCCGGCUCUGUAAGUUUUCGGUUAAAUCUGUACGCUUAACGUACAGGCUGCCGGGAAUACUGCAGAGCUAGGGAGUGGGAGAGGUAGACGGUACUCGGUAGGAAGUGGUAAAAUGCUUUGAUCUAUCGAUGACCACCUGUGGCGAACGCGGUCUACCAGAACACGUCCGACGGUGAGGGAUGAAAGCUGGGGGAGCAAACCGGAUUAGAUACCCGGUAGUCCCAGCUGUAACUAUGCAACUCAGUGAUGCAUACUGUGUCCAAUGCAAGUGC
This 729-nucleotide ribosomal RNA is filed under the name uncultured archaeon. RNAcentral's name for it is "bacterial SSU rRNA". It matches the Rfam family "Archaeal small subunit ribosomal RNA", at positions 66 to 797 of the family's 1478-position model. The record is from RNAcentral.